Molecule: long non-coding RNA, 235 nt
Filed under: Jatropha curcas
Lineage: Eukaryota; Viridiplantae; Streptophyta; Magnoliopsida; Malpighiales; Euphorbiaceae
Description: long non-coding RNA (JCUR_LNC000634)
Source: RNAcentral
AGCUCUGCAAUCUUCUCCGCAGAGUUAUAAAUGUAAACUUUAUAUUCUUGAUAUUUAAUUUUGAAUGUAUAAAUUAUUCUUUUAUCAGAUUUUUUUUUUUGACUCCGCAGUUAUAGGGCUGUGUAUUUAAAUUGGGCCUUAUUGUUAGCACUACGCUAUAAAUUAAUUAUUGUGCAAUUAACUGUAGGUAAACUAGUAAGCCCUUAUUGUAAUUAUGAGUUAUUGUGAAUAGGCC